UACGAGGGGAGCGAGUGUUGUUCGGCAUCACUGGGCGUAAAGCGUGCGUAGGCGGUUUUGUAAGUCAGAAGUGAAAGCCUGGGGCUCAACCUCAGAAUUGCUUUUGAGACUGCAAAGCUAGAGUAUUGGAGAGGUUAGUGGAAUUCCGAGUGGAGAGGUGAAAGUCGCAGAUAGUCGGAGGAACACCAGUGGCGAAGGCGACUAACGGGACAAUUACUGACGCUGAGGCACGAAAGCGUGGGGAUCAAACAGG
This 253-nucleotide ribosomal RNA is filed under the name uncultured bacterium. RNAcentral's name for it is "partial 16S ribosomal RNA". It matches the Rfam family "Bacterial small subunit ribosomal RNA", at positions 524 to 776 of the family's 1533-position model. The record is from RNAcentral.